RNAcentral lists this ribosomal RNA (481 nucleotides) under uncultured bacterium. Its description in RNAcentral is "partial 16S ribosomal RNA". It matches the Rfam family "Bacterial small subunit ribosomal RNA", at positions 28 to 523 of the family's 1533-position model. The record is from RNAcentral.
GACGAACGCUGGCGGCGUGCUUAACACAUGCAAGUCGAGCGAUGAAUUUUCUUCGGAAAUGGAUUAGCGGCGAACGGGUGAGGAACACGUGAAGAAUCUGCCCUCCACUUUGGGAUAACACAGGGAAACCUGUGCUAAUACCGAAUAUUGAAACAUAAGUGGCAUCACUGAGUUUUGAAAGAAUUUCGGUGUGGGAUGGGCCCGCGGCCUAUCAGCUUGUUGGUGGGGUAAUGGCCUACCAAGGCGACGACGGGUAGCCGGCCUGAGAGGGUGACCGGCCACACUGGGACUGAGAUACGGCCCAGACUCCUACGGGAGGCAGCAGUGGGGAAUAUUGCACAAUGGGCGCAAGCCUGAUGCAGCGACGCCGCGUGAGGGAUGACGGCCUUCGGGUUGUAAACCUCUUUCAGUAGGGACGAAGCGCAAGUGACGGUACCUACAGAAGGAGGACCGGCCAACUACGUGCCAGCCGCCGCCGUAA